RNAcentral lists this ribosomal RNA (253 nucleotides) under uncultured bacterium. RNAcentral's name for it is "partial 16S ribosomal RNA". It matches the Rfam family "Bacterial small subunit ribosomal RNA", at positions 524 to 776 of the family's 1533-position model. The record is from RNAcentral.
UACGUAGGGUGCAAGCGUUGUCCGGAAUUAUUGGGCGUAAAGAGCUCGUAGGCGGUCUGUUGCGUCGGCUGUGAAAACCCGGGGCUCAACUCCGGGCCUGCAGCCGAUACGGGCAGACUAGAGUUCGGCAGGGGAGACUGGAAUUCCUGGUGUAGCGGUGAAAUGCGCAGAUAUCAGGAGGAGCACCGGUGGCGAAGGCGGGUCUCUGGGCCGAUACUGACGCUGAGGAGCGAAAGCGUGGGGAGCGAACAGG